Molecule: ribosomal RNA, 510 nt
Filed under: uncultured Desulfobulbus sp.
Lineage: Bacteria; Pseudomonadati; Thermodesulfobacteriota; Desulfobulbia; Desulfobulbales; Desulfobulbaceae
Description: bacterial SSU rRNA
Rfam family: Bacterial small subunit ribosomal RNA
Source: RNAcentral
CGCCUUGCCAGCCCGCUCAGAACUCAAAGGAAUUGACGGGGGCCCGCACAAGCGGUGGAGUAUGUGGUUUAAUUCGAUGCAACGCGAAGAACCUUACCUGGUCUUGACAUCCCGGAGACCCUUAGGAAACUAGGGGGUGCUUCCAUCUGGAAGAAUCUGGAGACAGGUGCUGCAUGGCUGUCGUCAGCUCGUGUCGUGGGAUGUUGGGUUAAGUCCCGCAACGAGCGCAACCCUUGCCUUUAGUUGCCAGCAGUUCGGCUGGGCACUCUAAAGGGACUGCCGGUGUUAAACCGGAGGAAGGUGGGGAUGACGUCAAGUCCUCAUGGCCUUUAUGACCAGGGCUACACACGUACUACAAUGGCCGAUACAAAGGGCAGCGACACUGCGAGGUGAAGCCAAUCCCGUAAAAUCGGUCUCAGUCCGGAUUGGAGUCUGCAACUCGACUCCAUGAAGUUGGAAUCGCUAGUAAUCGUGGAUCAGCAUGCCACGGUGAAUACGUUCCCGGGCCUU